Non-coding RNA from Doryrhamphus excisus (bluestripe pipefish), 2060 nucleotides. The record is from RefSeq and is a predicted model, not a curated record. NCBI's taxonomy places the organism in Eukaryota, Metazoa, Chordata, Actinopteri, Syngnathiformes, Syngnathidae.
CAUGUUUACUUCGUCCCUUCAUACGCAGUUUGUCUUUGAAAGCAGCUGCACGGCAAACGACAUAAUGAGGGCAGCCGGGGCCAACCAAAAAUCGUUUGUUUGUAUACUAGCGAUGUGUCACUAGCCAAGGAAACCUGUCAUGUAGCCGACUCAUUCAAGUGUAUAAUCACAAUCCGCUGCUUUGUUUUUUUUUCUCUCUCUUUACACUGCCUUCCAGUGCAAGCCGCGUCUGAUUGGUUAACUAUCGGCUAGGGGCGGGGCUUACAGAGACACAGCACACUGAAAGACACAACACGCUGGAGAGGGCAGGUGGAAAAAGUAACACUACCCUUGCAGAGAGCACCUCCCGUGCAGCGUACGCCUUUUAACUGCACCGCUUCACUCAUCCGCAACUGCAAACUGCUGGCAGGUCGGGAUGGGGCUUCACCCCUUCAUCAUCGCUUUGGUGCUUUCUGUCGUGGUGAUGGCGUUGGCAGCUGCUGUCUUGAUUGUGCGCAUGUACUGCUUCCGGGUCAAGAAGAGCAGCUAUAGAUACUCUCUGCUCAGACAUCUGGAGGAGGACACCCCGAUGUUGAUGGAGGAGGUUGGCGACGAGGGGACUUGCAUGGAUUCAGACGAGGUGUCUGGAUUUUGUCGCACGAAAUGACUAAAUUGUUUGGUAAAUUCAUUUGGGAAUUGCUUGCAUGGACGUUUGCAGAGGUCAGGUGAAUGGUUUCUCCCAACGUUUUUACUCUUAGGACCUUCUAAUCAAGCCAAUUGAUAUGUAACAUUUUUUGCGGCUACCCCUUGUGGCUGUGCGAAGAAGUUACAUGCUGCAUAUUUCAAGGAUAAACAACAGAGAAAGUCUUUGCCCCCCUUCCUGAUUUUUUUUUUUCAGAUCUUCAAACUAGUUUAAAUAUUAGUCAAUGAGAACAACUGAGCACCAAAUGUAGUUAUUUUUUAUUAUUAAGAGAAAAAAUAUCCAAGCCUACAUGGCACUGCGUGGAAAAAGUCAUUGCCCCCCCUAAAACCUAGCUAAUAUGAAUGGAGAAAAGCUUUGGGACUCCAGCAAACCACAGUGAGAGCCAUUAUCCAUAAACGGCCUAAAUAUGGAGCAGUGGUGAAUUAUGAUUUUCAAAUGUAUUCUCAUACAAUCACUACUAUUCUUGUCUAUUUUAACUUUUUUUCAUUUUCUUGAAGAAUUUUUAUUUUUUAUUUUUUAUUUUUUAUUUUUUAUUUUUUAUUUUUUAUUUUAUUUUAUUUUAUUAUUUUUUUUUUUCUUGAAGAAUUUUUAGAAUUUGCCACAGGCCAAUAAAUAAACAACCGCGGACCACAAAUAGCCACCAGCCCGCACUUUGGAGAGCCCUGUUCUAGUUUUCAAGCUUAGCCGCAUUGGCCUUUGAAUCCAUUCAUGACAUGGAUGGACUUCCAUUGGUAAGAAGAGGCAGGAAGAGGCAGACCCACACAAGCAUUGUUGUCGCUCUUACACACAAGCUUAACUUUCACUUGUACUCAAACUGAACUCAAAUAGGGGCAAAGUGCAUGUGUCCGCCCAUCAUUGUGGAAGCGUCCUUGUCAAUGCAAGAGGUCCAGCACUGUGAUGAAAUAGAUUGCUCUUAUUUUUUUGAUUGCGAGCUUCUCCGAUAGCAGUGCAGUCCCAAGCACCGUGAAGAAAAGCUAAGGAAAAGAAAUAGCUUUGACAGAACCCAUAGAAUUAAUAACUGGUUGACCACCCCCUAGGCAGCAAUAACCUCCAGCAGGUGCCGACUGGAGCUGUGGACCAGACAUGUGCAUGUCCUGGUCCUUGGAGGAAUUUUAGGCUCCCGUCAUGUUCUUUGGAGAUCUCAUAGGACAGGGGUCCCCAAAUCGCGGCCUACGUUUGUCCUAUAAACAGUACAUAGACGAAAUGCUGUGUUCUCAGAUUACUUCAUAUUAUUAAUAAUAAUAUAAUUUAUAAUUUUAUAUAAUUAAAAAUAAUAAUAAUAAUAUAAUUUUAUAAUUAUUUUUAGAAUUUUUUUACAUUUAAAAUAUUUUUUAUAUUUUAUAAUAAUUAUUAUUAGCAGUAGUAUUAUCAUAUAUAU